GUGAGGAAUUUUCCGCAAUGGGCGAAAGCCUGACGGAGCAAUGCCGCGUGAAGGAUGAAGGCCUAUGGGUUGUAAACUUCUUUUCUCAGAAAAGAAUUAUGACGGUAUCUGAGGAAUAAGCAUCGGCUAACUCUGUGCCAGCAGCCGCGGUAAGACAGAGGAUGCAAGCGUUAUCCGGAAUGAUUGGGCGUAAAGCGUCUGUAGGUUGUUUAAAAAGUAUUCUGUCAAAGAUUAGGGCUUAACCCUAGAUAGGCAGAAUAAACUUUUAAGCUAGAGUUUGGUAGAGGCAGAGGGAAUUCCCGGUGGAGCGGUGGAAUGCGUAGAUAUCGGGAGGAACACCAAAGGCGAAGGCACUCUGCUGGGCCAAUACUAACACUGAGAGGCGAAAGCGAGGGGAGCAAAUGGGAUUAGAAACCCCUGUAGUCC
This 426-nucleotide ribosomal RNA is filed under the name uncultured bacterium. RNAcentral describes it as "partial 16S ribosomal RNA". It matches the Rfam family "Bacterial small subunit ribosomal RNA", at positions 354 to 796 of the family's 1533-position model. The record is from RNAcentral.